AUGCCUGCCUUGGGGGGCUCCGGUGCAGGGCCCCCUGUCCUUCUGAGUCACCCCCUGGCUCCCUGUCAGGCUGCUGAUUUGAUUCGCUUCCUGAGGAAUGUGGCAGGAGGUGAGCCAGUGUGGCAAGGCUUCUGUCCUCCGCAUCACCAGGAGAACUCAAUUCAUCUGUGCUUGCUUCCACACCUAAGGCAAAUUCUUCAAUUCUUAAAAACAAACAAACAAACAAACAAACAAAACCUGGAGUUGGGGGAAAAAAUAAGAAUUUGCACAAAUAAAAGAGAAAAAUAGAAAAAAUAUUUCCAUAAGAAAAUAUAUUGAAUCAUGUCCUCUGAGAUGAUGGUUUCAUUUAAAUUGAAGACUCAGGUGAGUGAAAAUACUCCUCUAGGUCCCCUUGUCUUCCUUGUUUUUCUCAAUAAAGAAAAGAAACUCUAGACUCCAAAUUAUCAGAGAAAUUACCAGAGAAUUGGAGGAGAAAAUAAAAGCCAGGUUCUGUGACUGAUUCUGUCCCUGAUUUAUUGUGUUUUUCAAUAGUGUUUCAGCUUUCUCAUCUCUACGGUGAGUAUGAGAUUGCCUGAAGAUCUGUGUGGUUCCUUCAUGGAAAGCUUUUAAGACAGAUAAAAUUAGCUGUAAAUCAUCUUGAAUUUCUAAGAGAAAGAUCCCAGACUCUGUGGAUCAGGGUCUGUCUUUUUCCACCUUGCUUUGCCCAUGUUCCCUCACAUGGUGGGAGGAAUAAUAAAGACCAAAAAAAAAAAAAAAAAAAAAAAAAAAAGGGUAACUCUAGUUCCUUUUCCCCUCCUUGUAAUCAGUGUUCUGUGCUAUUAACAUUUCACUUCUUAAUUUAUAAAAGGUCAUAAUACUGUGUUUGUUCUAUGUGGUUUUCUUUCAGUAAUUUGUCCUAUUUUGCUAAGAAAGAAGAGCAAAGAACUAACAUAAGGUUAUGGGCAUUUUUAUUUAUUUUUUCACUUGCCUCCUUAUUCUCAUUUCUUUAUUAUUAGGUCCUGACCUUUUGGCUAAGUUUAUUUUCAGUUUCUAUUUUUUUUUUCCCUCAGUAUUGUGGGAAGGGCUCAACUAUCACCCAGAUGGCAGAAAACUACCAGAAAAUCCAAACUGGGGAAAUCCUAUGUUUGAAAAAAAAUUUUUUUUUUUUUUUUUUUUAAGGAAAACCUUACCAGAAUAAACAUGCUCAGGGAUAGUCUUGUUGCUAGUAAGGAGAACCACAGAAAAAUCUGAGAUGGGGCUGGGAAAAAUAAGAAAAUAUAACCAUAAUUAACUAUAAGAAUAUCAGCUGAUGUUACAGAUGUGCCAAAGCCCAGCUUCUGGAGGAAAUACAUAUUAGCAAUCUAUACUAAGGCCUUUAAUUUUGUUUUCAAAAUUUCGCCUGACAAUGUUCAGAUAUCCACAUCUCCCGACACAUUUCAUGCCAAAACUGGUUUAGGAAUUCUGCAGAUCAAAGGAGGAAGGGCUGUUGCAGCUGAGAAGAGACACUUCUAAGACAUCUUGCAAGGUUAAGGUCAGAACUGCAUGCUCUUUUGCAUGCUGUCUGAGUAAUGACAAGAAGAUUCAAAUAGACUCUGCAAACAAUGGGGCCUGGGGAAUUGCAUACAUCUUGAGAAGUAAUUUGACUGGCAUAUAUUUAAGACAAUUCAUUUGUAUUUGAGAAAACCCAAGCAAUUUAUAUUUCCUGGAUGUCAGCUUGAACGGGAGGUUGGAAGAAUGGUGAUGCUUCAUUCUCAUUUGAGAUAAAAAAAUCAUGGAUAAUCAUGUAUAUACACAUUAAU
This 1778-nucleotide long non-coding RNA is filed under the name Sus scrofa (pig). Its description in RNAcentral is "lncRNA (ENSSSCG00045026478.1)". Lineage: Eukaryota; Metazoa; Chordata; Mammalia; Artiodactyla; Suidae. The record is from RNAcentral.